CUGCGAGUGAAGAGGGAAGAGCUCAUCAUUGGAAUCUGGCAGUGUUGCACUGUCCGAGUUGUAGAUGAGGAGUAGUCCGUCUGGACUGCAUGGCGUCCAAGUACAAUAGGCCGUCAGUGGGACAUCAUAGAGGGUGACAAUCCCGUCCUUGACGCCAAUGUGCAAGUCUAUUACGAUGGCUAUCUCAGAGAGUCGAGCAGUUUGGGAUUUGCUGCUUAAACAUGGGAGGUAGAUUCCUUCUAAAGCUAAAUACAGGCGAGAGACCGAUAGAGAACAAGUACCGCAAGGGAAAGAUGAAAUAGCACUCUGUGAAGGGAGUCAAAAGGCGUGAAAUUGUUGCGAGAGAAGCGAUUCAAGUCAGCGUAGCUAGGCCCAUCAAGCGUCUUCGCUUUGGACUAGCUUUGCCAGCGGUCUUGUCCCUUGAAGAGACUUGACUUGUAAUAUGUCCAGCCUGGCGUGCACAGGCAGCCCCUUCUGGGGGCCAGUGGCAUGGCUGGUGGAAUGGCUUGCAAUCGACCCGUCUUGAAACACGGACCAAGGAGUCUAACAUGUAUGCGAGUAUAAGGGUGGCAAACCCGUAUGCGCAAUGAAAGUGAUUUUCGGUGAUUGAGAAUGGCCUGAUGACCAGACAAGCAAUAUAUGUCCCUCGUACGGCCAUUGCCCAAGUUCCGUGGUAGAUCCCACGAACAUGGAGUUGGAGCAUACAUGCUAGGACCCGAAAGAUGGUGAACUAUGCCUGGACAAAGCGAAGCCAAAGGAAACUCUGGUGGAGGCUUGUAGCGAUUCUGACGUGCAAAUCGAUCGUCUGAUCUGGGUAUAGGGGCGAAAGACUAAUCGAACCAUCUCAUAGCUGGUUCUGC
This 860-nucleotide ribosomal RNA is filed under the name Craterellus yunnanensis. Its description in RNAcentral is "LSU rRNA". It matches the Rfam family "Eukaryotic large subunit ribosomal RNA", at positions 87 to 960 of the family's 3401-position model. Lineage: Eukaryota; Fungi; Basidiomycota; Agaricomycetes; Cantharellales; Hydnaceae. The record is from RNAcentral.